AUCUUGGUAGCUUAGACGGUAGAGCACUGGGCUAGCGAUCUAGUGUCCGUGAGUUCAAGUCUCACCCAAGACA
Cydia pomonella (codling moth) is the source of this 73-nucleotide non-coding RNA. The record is from the annotation of a RefSeq genome assembly. Lineage: Eukaryota; Metazoa; Arthropoda; Insecta; Lepidoptera; Tortricidae.